CCGAGGUUUCCACGGCGCAUCCGCCUCUAGGCUCGGCAGCCGGCAAUGCCCAUGGAAACCCCGAA
RNAcentral lists this microRNA precursor (65 nucleotides) under Ixodes scapularis (black-legged tick). RNAcentral describes it as "Isc-Mir-193-P1_pre stem-loop". Lineage: Eukaryota; Metazoa; Arthropoda; Arachnida; Ixodida; Ixodidae. The record is from RNAcentral.